This 253-nucleotide ribosomal RNA is filed under the name uncultured bacterium. Its description in RNAcentral is "partial 16S ribosomal RNA". It matches the Rfam family "Bacterial small subunit ribosomal RNA", at positions 524 to 776 of the family's 1533-position model. The record is from RNAcentral.
UACAGAGGGGGCAAGCGUUGUUCGGAAUUACUGGGCGUAAAGGGCGCGUAGGCGGCCUUCUAAGUCGAACGUGAAAUCCCAGGGCUCAACCCGGGAACUGCGUCCGAUACUGGAAGGCUUGAAUCCGGGAGAGGGAUGCGGAAUUCCAGGUGUAGCGGUGAAAUGCGUAGAUAUCUGGAGGAACACCGGUGGCGAAGGCGGCAUCCUGGACCGGCAUUGACGCUGAGGCGCGAAAGCCAGGGGAGCAAACGGG